Molecule: ribosomal RNA, 497 nt
Filed under: uncultured bacterium
Lineage: Bacteria
Description: partial 16S ribosomal RNA
Rfam family: Bacterial small subunit ribosomal RNA
Source: RNAcentral
GAUGAACGCUGGCGGCGUGCCUAAUACAUGCAAGUCGAGCGAACAGAUAAGGAGCUUGCUCCUUUGGCGUUAGCGGCGGACGGGUGAGUAACACGUGGGUAACCUACCUAUAAGACUGGGAUAACUUCGGGAAACCGGAGCUAAUACCGGAUAAUAUUUCGAACCGCAUGGUUCGAUAGUGAAAGAUGGUUUUGCUAUCACUUAUAGAUGGACCCGCGCCGUAUUAGCUAGUUGGUAAGGUAACGGCUUACCAAGGCGACGAUACGUAGCCGACCUGAGAGGGUGAUCGGCCACACUGGAACUGAGACACGGUCCGGACUCCUACGGGAGGCAGCAGUAGGGAAUCUUCCGCAAUGGGCGAAAGCCUGACGGAGCAACGCCGCGUGAGUGAUGAAGGUCUUCGGAUCGUAAAACUCUGUUAUUAGGGAAGAACAUACGUGUAAGUAACUGUGCACGUCUUGACGGUACCUAAUCAGAAAGCCACGGCUAACUACGUG